CUCAGCCUGCGACCCGAGGCUCAACUCACUUCUCGCAAUAUGAGUUGAUUUUUGAAAACAGAAAUUGAAAAAUAUUUCUUGAAAGAAACAGGGUUUCAGAAAAAAUCUGGUGAAACUAAAAAGCCUUCUUCUUCAUUAAUUCUGUGCAGCUUUCUCCCAGUAUUCCUUGCUCUACUGGUAUACUUGUAUAUGUCAUGUAUGAUGUUAUUAUGAUAUGCACAUGUUUGUCUUAAAUGCUUUUGUGUCUAAAUGAUCAUGUCAUGCACCCUGGGCUGUUUAUCACGUGCCCCACUUAUGAUUUUCGUGAGGAUCCGCAUUCAUUUCCUCAAUUCUUGACUUUCUCUCAGGUUUUGUGCCCAUCUCCAAGUUUGUUAAGUGAUCAACAUUUCCUCGUAUAUCACCCUCUUGCCCCCUCGUUGAACUUUGUUCUUGCUUCAGGGUCCUUGUAUUUAUCAAAUUCUCAUCCAGGUAAUGCUCAACAUUCCUUUUGUUUAGAGUAUGUCAUCUUGCUAUUUAUCAUUUAAAUGAAUCCAAAAUGAGAUGCAUAAAAAGACAAAAUAGGCAUGAAAGACUUCACAUUCAUUUUUUUUUCAAAAGUAACAAACAAAAAAUUGACAAGGAAAGUUUAACAAAUGAAUCGUCAUAAAGAAAAGAAAGCGAGUUCAAUGGCCAGAAAUGCUCUAGAUAUCCAAUGCAUGAACUUUCCACGUUUCUUCAUCCUGGAUCUUUUUGAGCACGGCUUCUUGUGUAGAAGAUUUUGAGCUUCUGAGAAUGCUUCAAAUAUUGUAACCCCGCCAUUCGACUCCUCAUUCAAGCCACUUUGCUCCUUUAAGCCCAAGCCCACUUUGUUAGGACGCCCUUUUGGGUUUUCAUCCUAAUCUUUUUUGUUCAUCAAGACGCCCUUUUCGGGUUUUCAUCUUGAUUUUUUCUUUUUUUUUGUUUUUUCCUUUUUUGUUUUGUUUUUUUCUAUUUUUUUUGUUUUUUUUCUAUUUUUUUGUUUUUUUUAAGCAUAAUAUUUCUUCACAGCAUCUGAGUUCACUGGAUUAGGUAAUUCUUUCCCGUCCAUCUCAGUGAGAAUCAGAGCCCCUCCUGAGAAUGCCUUUUUUACAACGUAUGGCCCUUCCCAAUUUGGUGACCAUUUUCCUCGAAAGUCCUUUUGUAUCGGGAGGAUCUUUCUUA
RNAcentral lists this long non-coding RNA (1179 nucleotides) under Gossypium raimondii (Peruvian cotton). Its description in RNAcentral is "long non-coding RNA (GRAI_LNC004332)". Lineage: Eukaryota; Viridiplantae; Streptophyta; Magnoliopsida; Malvales; Malvaceae. The record is from RNAcentral.